CCUACGGGAGGCUGCCGGCGCGAAAACUUUACAAUGCUGGCAACAGCGAUAAGGGAACCUCGAGUGCCAGGUUACAAAUCUGGCUGUCGUGAUGCCUAAAAAGCAUUGCAUAGCAAGGGCCGGGCAAGACCGGUGCCAGCCGCCGCGGUAACACCGGCGGCUCGAGUGGUAACCGUUAUGAUUGGGUCUAAAGGGUCUGUAGCCGGCCGGAUAAGUCUCUUGGGAAAUGUGGCAGCGUAACUGUCAGGCUUUCAGGAGAUACUGUCUGGCUCGAGGCCGGGAGAGGUAAGAGGUACUUCAGGGGUAGGGGUGAAAUCUUGUAAUCCUUGAAGGACCACCAGUGGCGAAGGCGUCUUACCAGAACGGACCUGACGGCAAGGGACGAAAGCUAGGGGCACGAACC
This 403-nucleotide ribosomal RNA is filed under the name uncultured prokaryote. RNAcentral describes it as "bacterial SSU rRNA". It matches the Rfam family "Archaeal small subunit ribosomal RNA", at positions 322 to 725 of the family's 1478-position model. The record is from RNAcentral.